ACUUUUGAAGGAUAACAGUCUUCCACUAGCCUUAGGAGCUAAGCUCCUUGGUGCAAGUCCAAGUAAAAGUA
Molecule: transfer RNA, 71 nt
Filed under: Pachydactylus punctatus
Lineage: Eukaryota; Metazoa; Chordata; Lepidosauria; Squamata; Gekkonidae
Description: tRNA-Leu
Source: RNAcentral